AUUGAACGCUGGCGGCAUGCCUUACACAUGCAAGUCGAACGGUAACAGGUUAAGCUGACGAGUGGCGAACGGGUGAGUAAUGUAUCGGAACGUGCCCAGUCGUGGGGGAUAACGUAGCGAAAGCUACGCUAAUACCGCAUACGAUCUACGGAUGAAAGCGGGGGAUCGCAAGACCUCGCGCGAUUGGAGCGGCCGAGAUCAGAUUCGGUUGUUGGUGAGGUAAAAGCUCACCAAGCCUGCGAUCUGUAGCUGGUCUGAGAGGACGACUAGCCACUCUGGAACUGAGACGCGGUCCAGACUCCUACGGGAGGCAGCAGUGGGGAAUUUUGGACAAUGGACGCAAGUCUGAUCCAGCAAUGCCGCGUGCAGGACGAAGGCCUUCGGGUUGUAAACUGCUUUUGUACGGAACGAAACGGUGAGCUCUAAUACAGUUUGCUAAUGACGGUACCGUAAGAAUAAGCACCGGCUAACUACGUGCCGGCCGCCGUAAUAC
Molecule: ribosomal RNA, 493 nt
Filed under: uncultured bacterium
Lineage: Bacteria
Description: partial 16S ribosomal RNA
Rfam family: Bacterial small subunit ribosomal RNA
Source: RNAcentral